GGUCAUCUGGAAGAGCAACCAGAAUUCUUUGUCUUUUUCAUUUUUUCUCCCCUAUUUUCUUUUCCCCUUCCUUCCCUUCCUCCCCCCCUCCUUUCUUUCUUUCAGACGCAGAAUUUCUCUGUAUAGCCUUGGCUGACCUGGAACUUGUUCUAUAGACCAGGCUAGCCUUGAAUUCAGAGAUCCAUGUGCCUUUGUCUCCCAAAUGCUGGGCUUAAAGUUGGGCACCAUCACUUCCCAGCACAACCAGGAUUCUUUUUUUUUUUUUUUUUUGGUUCUUUUUUUUCGGAGCUGGGGACCGCUCUACCACUGAGCUAAAUCCCCAGCCCCACAACCAGGAUUCUUAACCAUUGAGCCAUCUCCCCAGUCAUGGUCCUUCUAAUUUAAGAUAUACAUAUAUCAUUCUUUGUAUAUGCAUUUGGAGGUCAAAGGGCAACUUUCAGGAGUUGGUCCUUCUUCUACCAUGGGAUCCAAGAAUCAAAGUCAGGUUAUCAGGUUUGAGCAACAAGCACUUUUAAUGUCCAUCUCAUGGGCCCCCCCGGUCAUGAUCUUUCUUUCUUUUUUUUUUUUUUCUUUUUUCUUUUUUUCGGAGCUGGAGACCGAACCCAGGGCCUUGUGCUUGCUAGGCAAGUGCUCUACCACUGAGCUAAAUCCCCAACCCCGGUCAUGAUCUUUCUGUUGAGGCCAACAGUAUGCAGACACCCAGGUUCACCAGGGCAAGAAUAGAGGACAUCAGUGAGACCUCUGAAGGUCUCAGGUUGGAAGAACAGAUAGCUGAGUUGAGAUAUUUGCAGACCUGAAUCAAAAUGGCUUUCAUUUUCUAUGUCAACUCCCAUCACUAAGUCAUUAUGAUGGUUUGUAUAUGUUUGACCCAGGGAGUGACAUUAUUAGGAGGAUAACCUUGUUGGAGUAGUUGUGUCACUGUGAGUGUGGACUUUAAUACCCUAGUCCUAGUUGCCUGGAAGCCAGUAUUCUGCUAGCAGCCUUCAGAUGAAGAUGUAGAACUCUCAGCUCUUCCUGCACCAUGCCUCCAUGGACGCCGCCAUGUUCCUGCCUUGAUGAUAAUGAACUAAACUUCUGAAACUCAGUGUGAUGUUUGUGUCAUGGAACAAAGAGGGACCUGGUCAACUUCUGCUUCUGAAGGCUUUGACAGUGAUGUAGAAGUGGACUGGAGGGGCUGGAGAGACGGCUCGGCAGUAAAGAGCACUGACUGCUCUUCCAGAGGUCCUGAGUUCGAUUCCCAGCAACCACAUUGUGGCUCACAACCAUCUGUAAUGGGACCUGGUGCCCUUUUCUGGUGUGUCUGAAGACAGCUACAGUGCUAUAGUGUACUCAUAUACAUACGAAAAAGAAAUAAUUCUGAAGAAGAAGGAGGAGCACUGGAGGCAGCAAGGCCAAGAGGCCAUUACCAGGAAAUUUUGCCAUCCAGGGGAGGGGUGAUGACUUAUGACUAAGUCAGAGACAUUAGCAGUGGAGGAGCCAUGACCACCAGAAGGAAAAAUGGGAAAGAACUUCUGGUCAUCCAAAGUGGGUGGAAACUAUGCAGACACAUAGGCCUGAAUUGAAAUCCUAGUCAUAUCAUUUACCGAGCUUGCACAGAUGAUCUUUCUAGAACAGAGAAAGUAAAGCAAGAAGGGACCUAUUCCACAGUGGCUC
Non-coding RNA from Rattus norvegicus (Norway rat), 1653 nucleotides. NCBI's taxonomy places the organism in Eukaryota, Metazoa, Chordata, Mammalia, Rodentia, Muridae. The record is from RefSeq and is a predicted model, not a curated record.